RNAcentral lists this unclassified non-coding RNA (1282 nucleotides) under Hevea brasiliensis (rubber tree). The record is from RNAcentral. Lineage: Eukaryota; Viridiplantae; Streptophyta; Magnoliopsida; Malpighiales; Euphorbiaceae.
UUCGAAUCCACCUGGAUCUUUUCUCAAUAGCUUUUAUAGAGCAAGGCUCUGUAAUGGGGUGAUUGAUAAUAGAAUAAUAUAUUAUUUAGUAAAGUUAAUCAUUUAUUUUUUUUAUAUUUUCAAAGUAUCAAUCAGUCGUUUGCAUUGGAUUUUAUUCACUUAUUAUGUGUAUUUUUAUUAAUUUUAUUCUUAAUUAAGGGGUGUAUAGAAGGCCAAUAAAGAAUAAUAGUAUUAAUGGUGAUAAAUAUAGAAAAAAAAAUUAUUAAAAUUGAAAAAAAUUUUAUUAAAUUAAAAUUAAUAAGUAAUUGUAUUUUUCGAAAUGUGAUAAUUGAAUCAUUAAUUUUAUUAUAAAUAGAGAUUAAAUAAUAAUUUUUUUCUUCAAAAUAUAGCGGCAAAUGCUGCAAUGGAAUUGUUAUUCGUAUCCGUCUUACCUUUUUAUGUCUUUAACAGAUGGGUAUCCCUUUGCAGUGGAUUAAAUUGAAGUUCCUUCAUCACUACAGCUUCAUUUCAUUCUCUUAUGGUAGGAUGAUUUCUCUUGAAUUUUCUGAACCUGCUUUUUCUAUUUUUCGGACACAUACACUUGUUUUGUAGUGUCUAGUGCUGUGAGUCGCAUCGCAUCGGCUACGUAUUUUCUCUUUUUAUUUCCCCUCUCUUUCGUCAGGUUUCCUUUUUCUUUGGUAUUCUUAGACUAAAAGUUGUGGUUGGCAUUGCCAGGUCAUUGUCUGUGUUCUGUGGCGUUGAGUAAGAGACAAAUCUUACCUAUUCUUGGACCAGUUUCUUUAUAUUUGAUUCUUUUUCUUAGUUGGAAUGAUGCUUCUGUUAGUGCUUUGCAAAUUCCACGAAAGGUAUCAAUCUUUCGAAGCGAUAUUCUCAAAGAUUGUAAUUGAUAAUUGCCGAGUGGUAUGAAGAUCCUUUCCAGAACGUCUAAGAGUAAGCCAAGGGUAGGAAAAGAUCAAUAGAAAAAUGUCCAAAGCAUGGAGUUGUUGUUGACUUUUAUUGGGUAUGGUUGGUAUUGGUUGCCACUCGCCCUUCCCACUUGUCACCAUCUUUCUCUCACUCAACAGGAUGACAUUACAAUAGAAAAUUACAGAGUUAAGACAAAAAAACAUGUGUUUCCACCAUGAGUGGAUCGCCAGAUAAACUAUUCGGUACAUACUCUUAUGCCAAGUUAGCAUGUUAAUUCAAUACAUGAAUACAUGACAAGGCAAUCAUUUUUAAAUGUUAAAAUGCUAAUAACAUGUUGAUUUUAUAUAUUUAAAACAUGCUAUUAUCUUCUAAUGUA